This 1503-nucleotide ribosomal RNA is filed under the name uncultured bacterium. RNAcentral's name for it is "bacterial SSU rRNA". It matches the Rfam family "Bacterial small subunit ribosomal RNA". The record is from RNAcentral.
GAUCCUGGCUCAGGACGAACGCUGGCGGCGUGCCUAAUACAUGCAAGUAGAACGCUGAAGAGAGGAGCUUGCUCUUCUUGGAUGAGUUGCGAACGGGUGAGUAACGCGUAGGUAACCUGCCUUGUAGCGGGGGAUAACUAUUGGAAACGAUAGCUAAUACCGCAUAACAAUAGGUGACACAUGUCAUUUAUUUGAAAGGGGCAAUUGCUCCACUACAAGAUGGACCUGCGUUGUAUUAGCUAGUAGGUGAGGUAACGGCUCACCUAGGCGACGAUACAUAGCCGACCUGAGAGGGUGAUCGGCCACACUGGGACUGAGACACGGCCCAGACUCCUACGGGAGGCAGCAGUAGGGAAUCUUCGGCAAUGGGGGCAACCCUGACCGAGCAACGCCGCGUGAGUGAAGAAGGUUUUCGGAUCGUAAAGCUCUGUUGUAAGUCAAGAACGAGUGUGAGAGUGGAAAGUUCACACUGUGACGGUAGCUUACCAGAAAGGGACGGCUAACUACGUGCCAGCAGCCGCGGUAAUACGUAGGUCCCGAGCGUUGUCCGGAUUUAUUGGGCGUAAAGCGAGCGCAGGCGGUUUGAUAAGUCUGAAGUUAAAGGCUGUGGCUCAACCAUAGUUCGCUUUGGAAACUGUCAAACUUGAGUGCAGAAGGGGAGAGUGGAAUUCCAUGUGUAGCGGUGAAAUGCGUAGAUAUAUGGAGGAACACCGGUGGCGAAAGCGGCUCUCUGGUCUGUAACUGACGCUGAGGCUCGAAAGCGUGGGGAGCGAACAGGAUUAGAUACCCUGGUAGUCCACGCCGUAAACGAUGAGUGCUAGGUGUUGGAUCCUUUCCGGGAUUCAGUGCCGCAGCUAACGCAUUAAGCACUCCGCCUGGGGAGUACGACCGCAAGGUUGAAACUCAAAGGAAUUGACGGGGGCCCGCACAAGCGGUGGAGCAUGUGGUUUAAUUCGAAGCAACGCGAAGAACCUUACCAGGUCUUGACAUCCCGAUGCUAUUUCUAGAGAUAGAAAGUUACUUCGGUACAUCGGUGACAGGUGGUGCAUGGUUGUCGUCAGCUCGUGUCGUGAGAUGUUGGGUUAAGUCCCGCAACGAGCGCAACCCCUAUUGUUAGUUGCCAUCAUUCAGUUGGGCACUCUAGCGAGACUGCCGGUAAUAAACCGGAGGAAGGUGGGGAUGACGUCAAAUCAUCAUGCCCCUUAUGACCUGGGCUACACACGUGCUACAAUGGUUGGUACAACGAGUUGCGAGUCGGUGACGGCAAGCUAAUCUCUUAAAGCCAAUCUCAGUUCGGAUUGUAGGCUGCAACUCGCCUACAUGAAGUCGGAAUCGCUAGUAAUCGCGGAUCAGCACGCCGCGGUGAAUACGUUCCCGGGCCUUGUACACACCGCCCGUCACACCACGAGAGUUUGUAACACCCGAAGUCGGUGAGGUAACCUUUUGGAGCCAGCCGCCUAAGGUGGGAUAGAUGAUUGGGGUGAAGUCGUAACAAGGUAGCCG